RNAcentral lists this ribosomal RNA (440 nucleotides) under uncultured bacterium. Its description in RNAcentral is "partial 16S ribosomal RNA". It matches the Rfam family "Bacterial small subunit ribosomal RNA", at positions 338 to 795 of the family's 1533-position model. The record is from RNAcentral.
CCUACGCGCGGCAGCAGUGGGGGAUAUUGCACAAUGGGGGAAACCCUGAUGCAGCGACGCCGCGUGGGUGAAGAAGCGCCUCGGCGCGUAAAGCCCUGUCAGCAGGGAAGAAAAUGACGGUACCUGAAGAAGAAGCCCCGGCUAACUACGUGCCAGCAGCCGCGGUAAUACGUAGGGGGCAAGCGUUAUCCGGAUUUACUGGGUGUAAAGGGGGCGCAGACGGCGAUGCAAGCCAGGAGUGAAAGCCCGGGGCCCAACCCCGGGACUGCUCUUGGUACUGCGUGGCUUGAGUGAAGUAGAGGCAGGCGGAAUUCCUAGUGUAGCGGUGAAAUGCGUAGAUAUUAGGAGGAACACCAGUGGCGAAGGCGGCCUGCUGGGCUUUUACUGACGCUGAGGCUCGAAAGUGUGGGGAGCAAACAGGAUUAGAUACCCGUGUAGUC